RNAcentral lists this ribosomal RNA (406 nucleotides) under uncultured bacterium. RNAcentral's name for it is "partial 16S ribosomal RNA". It matches the Rfam family "Bacterial small subunit ribosomal RNA", at positions 30 to 526 of the family's 1533-position model. The record is from RNAcentral.
AUUGAACGCUGGCGGCAGGCCUAACACAUGCAAGUCGAACGAGUGGCGGACGGGUGAGUAAUGUCUGGGAAACUGCCUGAUGGAGGGGGAUAACUACUGGAAACGGUAGCUAAUACCGCAUACCAUCAGAUGUGCCCAGAUGGGAUUAGCUAGUUGGGGGGGUAACGGCUCACCAAGGCAACGAUCCCUAGCUGGUCUGAGAGGAUGACCAGCCAAACUGGAACUGAGAAACGGACCAGACGCCGACGGGAGGAAGCAGUGGGGAGUAUUGCACAAUGGUCGCAAGCCUGAUGCAGCCAUGCCGCGUGGAUGAAGAAGGCCUUCGGGUUGUAAAGUACUUUCAGCGGGGAGGCGUUACCCGCAGAAGAAGCACCGGCUAACUCCGUGCCAGCCGCCGCGGUAAUUC